This 1338-nucleotide ribosomal RNA is filed under the name Staphylococcus aureus. Its description in RNAcentral is "partial 23S ribosomal RNA". It matches the Rfam family "Bacterial large subunit ribosomal RNA", at positions 1583 to 2925 of the family's 2925-position model. Lineage: Bacteria; Bacillati; Bacillota; Bacilli; Caryophanales; Staphylococcaceae. The record is from RNAcentral.
UCUUCGAGUCGUUGAUUUCACACUGCCGAGAAAAGCCUCUAGAUAGAAAAUAGGUGCCCGUACCGCAAACCGACACAGGUAGUCAAGAUGAGAAUUCUAAGGUGAGCGAGCGAACUCUCGUUAAGGAACUCGGCAAAAUGACCCCGUAACUUCGGGAGAAGGGGUGCUCUUUAGGGUUAACGCCCAGAAGAGCCGCAGUGAAUAGGCCCAAGCGACUGUUUAUCAAAAACACAGGUCUCUGCUAAACCGUAAGGUGAUGUAUAGGGGCUGACGCCUGCCCGGUGCUGGAAGGUUAAGAGGAGUGGUUAGCUUCUGCGAAGCUACGAAUCGAAGCCCCAGUAAACGGCGGCCGUAACUAUAACGGUCCUAAGGUAGCGAAAUUCCUUGUCGGGUAAGUUCCGACCCGCACGAAAGGCGUAACGAUUUGGGCACUGUCUCAACGAGAGACUCGGUGAAAUCAUAGUACCUGUGAAGAUGCAGGUUACCCGCGACAGGACGGAAAGACCCCGUGGAGCUUUACUGUAGCCUGAUAUUGAAAUUCGGCACAGCUUGUACAGGAUAGGUAGGAGCCUUUGAAACGUGAGCGCUAGCUUACGUGGAGGCGCUGGUGGGAUACUACCCUAGCUGUGUUGGCUUUCUAACCCGCACCACUUAUCGUGGUGGGAGACAGUGUCAGGCGGGCAGUUUGACUGGGGCGGUCGCCUCCUAAAAGGUAACGGAGGCGCUCAAAGGUUCCCUCAGAAUGGUUGGAAAUCAUUCAUAGAGUGUAAAGGCAUAAGGGAGCUUGACUGCGAGACCUACAAGUCGAGCAGGGUCGAAAGACGGACUUAGUGAUCCGGUGGUUCCGCAUGGAAGGGCCAUCGCUCAACGGAUAAAAGCUACCCCGGGGAUAACAGGCUUAUCUCCCCCAAGAGUUCACAUCGACGGGGAGGUUUGGCACCUCGAUGUCGGCUCAUCGCAUCCUGGGGCUGUAGUCGGUCCCAAGGGUUGGGCUGUUCGCCCAUUAAAGCGGUACGCGAGCUGGGUUCAGAACGUCGUGAGACAGUUCGGUCCCUAUCCGUCGUGGGCGUAGGAAAUUUGAGAGGAGCUGUCCUUAGUACGAGAGGACCGGGAUGGACAUACCUCUGGUGUACCAGUUGUCGUGCCAACGGCAUAGCUGGGUAGCUAUGUGUGGACGGGAUAAGUGCUGAAAGCAUCUAAGCAUGAAGCCCCCCUCAAGAUGAGAUUUCCCAACUUCGGUUAUAAGAUCCCUCAAAGAUGAUGAGGUUAAUAGGUUCGAGGUGGAAGCAUGGUGACAUGUGGAGCUGACGAAUACUAAUCGAUCGAAGACUUAAUCAA